This 465-nucleotide ribosomal RNA is filed under the name uncultured bacterium. RNAcentral describes it as "partial 16S ribosomal RNA". It matches the Rfam family "Bacterial small subunit ribosomal RNA", at positions 28 to 506 of the family's 1533-position model. The record is from RNAcentral.
GAUGAACGCUGGCGGCGUGCUUAGCACAUGCAAGUCGAACGAUGAAGCCCAGCUUGCUGGGUGGAUUAGUGGCGAACGGGUGAGUAACACGUGAGUAACCUGCCCUUGACUCUGGGAUAAGCCUGGGAAACUGGGUCUAAUACUGGAUAUGACUUCUCAUCGCAUGGUGGGGGGUGGAAAGAUUUAUUGGUCUUGGAUGGACUCGCGGCCUAUCAGCUUGUUGGUGAGGUAAUGGCUCACCAAGGCGACGACGGGUAGCCGGCCUGAGAGGGUGACCGGCCACACUGGGACUGAGACACGGCCCAGACUCCUACGGGAGGCAGCAGUGGGGAAUAUUGCACAAUGGGCGCAAGCCUGAUGCAGCGACGCCGCGUGAGGGAUGACGGCCUUCGGGUUGUAAACCUCUUUCAGUAGGGAAGAAGCGAGAGUGACGGUACCUGCAGAAGAAGCGCCGGCUAACUACGU